GCUAUGUGGAUCCGGUGGUUCUAGACUUGCCAACUAUGGCCUUGGAGGAAAGCACUUGAAGGACAGAGAUAAUGUUCCAUCAUCCUCUGUUCAUGUCAGCUGGAAAAGAAAUGUGUAUCCCACACACAAUUGUUUAUCUGCAUAUACAUACAGAGUCUGUAUUAUACCAAUCGUAAAGUGAUAAUGCCAGGGCAUGCAUCUUAAUUACUAAAUAUUGAAAUUAUUUAUAUGCAUAUGUAGGGGAUCUCAUUAGCAUAUAAUCAGAUGUUGUGAACAGAUAUGUGUUUCAUACAUGCAAUCCUAGUCUAAUGUUAACCUUUUUUGUAGCUUGAAAUUUAAAAACCAGCAAGAUAACAAAUGAACAUCAUCUAAUUAGCAUGGAAACACAACAGUCCAAUAUGAAGGUGUUAGAAACCUGAAGAAUGAGUGGCUAAUGGUUGUGCAGCAGGACUGAGUUAAUGUGUUCCUCUGCACACCUGAGGUUACAGGAUACAAAAACCGCAUCAUCAUCUGAACACAACACUGUUGGCAUCAUUACUCUCAUAGACAUCACUUACCAGGAAGACAGUACAGUUAAUAAUACCCCAGAAUAAUUAUAUGAAACUUGGCUGGACUAAUGCACUGCAAUGAGAUGAGAACAACUUGUACCCUACUGCUUUGAGUAAGCACCCAUUGAUAUAACUUGUCUAAGGUGUUUAUUAGAUCUUGCACCCCCCCUACUACAUGAAUAACAGGCUGUGUGCAUUUGUAAAAAUAUUAAUGUAUUGACAACAUGCAGCUAAUUUAAU
Molecule: non-coding RNA, 788 nt
Organism: Pelobates cultripes (western spadefoot toad)
Lineage: Eukaryota; Metazoa; Chordata; Amphibia; Anura; Pelobatidae
Source: the annotation of a GenBank genome assembly